CCUACGGGUGGCAGCAGUGGGGAAUAUUGGGCAAUGGAGGAAACUCUGACCCAGCAACGCCGCGUGAAUGAUGAAGGUCUUCUGAUUGUAAAGUUCUUUUCUUAGGGAAGAAGAAUGUGACGGUACCUUAUGAAUAAGCCUCGGCUAACUACGUGCCAGCAGCCGCGGCAAGACGUAGGAGGCGAGCGUUCUCCGGAAGCACUGGGCGUAAAGGGUGCGUAGGUGGUUUGGCAAGUUAGUAGCGUAACUCCAAGGCUCAACCUUGGAACUAAUACUAAAACUGUUGGACUUGAGUGCGGGAGGGGCAACCGGAAGUCCUAGUGUAGCGGUGGAAUGCGUAGAUAUUAGGAGGAACACCAGUGGCGAAGGCGGGUUGCUGGACUGUAACUGACGCUGAGGCACGAAAGCGUGGGGAGCAAACAGGAUUAGAUACCCUUGUAGUC
RNAcentral lists this ribosomal RNA (443 nucleotides) under uncultured bacterium. RNAcentral describes it as "partial 16S ribosomal RNA". It matches the Rfam family "Bacterial small subunit ribosomal RNA", at positions 338 to 795 of the family's 1533-position model. The record is from RNAcentral.